Molecule: ribosomal RNA, 208 nt
Filed under: uncultured Desulfurivibrio sp.
Lineage: Bacteria; Pseudomonadati; Thermodesulfobacteriota; Desulfobulbia; Desulfobulbales; Desulfobulbaceae
Description: partial 16S ribosomal RNA
Rfam family: Bacterial small subunit ribosomal RNA
Source: RNAcentral
UGGGAUGACGUCAAGUCCUCAUGGCCUUUAUGUCUAGGGCUACACACGUACUACAAUGGCCGGUACAAAGGGCAGCCACUCAGCGAUGAGGCGCUAAUCCCAUAAAGCCGGUCUCAGUCCGGAUCGCAGUCUGCAACUCGACUGCGUGAAGUUGGAAUCGCUAGUAAUCGCGGAUCAGCAUGCCGCGGUGAAUACGUUCCCGGGCCUU